RNAcentral lists this unclassified non-coding RNA (315 nucleotides) under Hevea brasiliensis (rubber tree). The record is from RNAcentral. Lineage: Eukaryota; Viridiplantae; Streptophyta; Magnoliopsida; Malpighiales; Euphorbiaceae.
CAAUGAUCAAGUUACUGCAUUCAACUUCCAUUUUUGUUACAAACUUAGCUUGCACUUUUGUAGCGGUUGCCAUAAUUGUGAUGAAAUUGUACGCUGGAAUUGAAAAAGAGACCGCAGGAGAUGUUUCACAAAUGGAAUAAGUGAGAGUAAGUCCUCAAAGGUCUCUUCAAGUGUUGUCUCACCAGAAGCAUUGAAAAUUGUGCUCGACUUCAUGUACAGUGGGGAAAUCAGUUUAGAAGGUACCAGGGAUUUUGGAAUUUUGAUGAGGAGCAAGGGAGUUGAGGAGUUGCGUGGGGGGAAGAUGGUGGAUGAGUU